CCUGAACUCGGGGUUCAGGGGAUUGAUUGAUUACAACAAAAGCUGUGCCCUCUGAACCUGGCUGCAGCCAAAUAAAACUGUUUCCUGCCUCGUUUGUCCCUACAAUAACAGAGCAGAGGAUGAAGUGAGGGAGAAAAGCGUGGCAGUCCUCACAAGAAACCAGAAGAAAAAGGAGCAACCGCAAAUUCAGACCUCAGGGGUCUGAGGUCCAGAAAGCCCCGCACGCAGCCUAGACUGGAGAGUAAAUCUGAGCAGAGUCACUCGAGGUGCCAAGAGAUGUGCAGAAAACUCUUCUUAGUUUUUUGAGGAAUCUCCAUACUGCUUUACAGAAGCUUUACAGAGUGGUUGCACUAAUUUGCAACAAUGUAUGAGUGCACCUUUUCCCCACAUCCUCACCAAUACUUAUUAUUACUUGUAUUCUUGAUACUUGUCAUUCUGACUGGAGUGAAAUCUCAAUAUAGCUUUGAUGUGCAUUUCCCUAAUUGCUAGAGAUGUUGAACCUUUUUUUUUCCUUUAUUCUUCUUUUGAGAAGUGUCUGUUUAGUUCUUUUGCCCAUUUAUUAAUUGGGUCAUUUGUUUUUCUGAUGCUAAGUUUUUAUUUGUUUUUUUUAUUUUUUAUAUAUUCUGGAUAUUAACAUCCUGAGGAGCAGCCCAUUCUUUAGGCUCUCUCUUCAUGCUCUAAAUUGUUUCUUUUGCUGUGCAGAUUUGCUUCACUUUUAGAUAAACGCUUUCUGGUAUAU
RNAcentral lists this long non-coding RNA (739 nucleotides) under Marmota monax (woodchuck). The record is from RNAcentral. Lineage: Eukaryota; Metazoa; Chordata; Mammalia; Rodentia; Sciuridae.